RNAcentral lists this ribosomal RNA (495 nucleotides) under uncultured bacterium. Its description in RNAcentral is "bacterial SSU rRNA". It matches the Rfam family "Bacterial small subunit ribosomal RNA", at positions 38 to 518 of the family's 1533-position model. The record is from RNAcentral.
GGCGGCGUGCCUAACACAUGCAAGUCGAGCGGGACGAUUGCGACGGAGACGAAGUACUCGUACGGAGUCAAAGAUGUAAUGUUCUAGCGGCGGACGGGUGAGUAACGCGUGAGCAACCUGUCCUUACAGGGGAUAACACAGCGAAAGUUGUACUAAUACCGCAUAAGACCACAGGAUGACAUCGUCCGAGGGGUCAAAGGAGCAAUCCGGUAAGGGGUGGGCUCGCGUCCGAUUAGAUAGUUGGUGAGGUAACGGCCCACCAAGUCGACGAUCGGUAGCCGACCUGAGAGGGUGAUCGGCCACAUUGGGACUGAGACACGGCCCAAACUCCUACGGGAGGCAGCAGUGGGGAAUAUUGGGCAAUGGGGGGAAACCCUGACCCAGCAACGCCGCGUGAGGGAAGAAGGUUUUCGGAUCGUAAACCUCUGUCCCAGGUGAAGAGGAGGAGACGGUAGCCAAGGAGGAAGCCCCGGCUAACUACGUGCCAGCAGCCGC